This 85-nucleotide small nuclear RNA is filed under the name Canis lupus familiaris (dog). RNAcentral describes it as "U4 spliceosomal RNA (multiple genes)". It matches the Rfam family "U4 spliceosomal RNA", at positions 1 to 82 of the family's 138-position model. Rfam says of the family: U4 small nuclear RNA (U4 snRNA) is a component of the major U2-dependent spliceosome. The structure of U4 snRNA from yeast and human has been reported. U4 snRNA presents a k-turn RNA motif in the 5p-SL related to recognition of Snu13 protein. The record is from Rfam by way of RNAcentral. RNAcentral also lists the same sequence under 1 other name. Lineage: Eukaryota; Metazoa; Chordata; Mammalia; Carnivora; Canidae.
AGCCUUGUACGGUGGCCGUAUUGUUGCCAGUGAGGUUUAUCCAAGGUGCGAUUAUUACUAAUUGAAAACUUUUCCCCCGAAAUCU